This 432-nucleotide ribosomal RNA is filed under the name Pseudomonas aeruginosa. RNAcentral's name for it is "bacterial SSU rRNA". It matches the Rfam family "Bacterial small subunit ribosomal RNA", at positions 1101 to 1533 of the family's 1533-position model. Lineage: Bacteria; Pseudomonadati; Pseudomonadota; Gammaproteobacteria; Pseudomonadales; Pseudomonadaceae. The record is from RNAcentral.
ACCCUUGUCCUUAGUUACCAGCACCUCGGGUGGGCACUCUAAGGAGACUGCCGGUGACAAACCGGAGGAAGGUGGGGAUGACGUCAAGUCAUCAUGGCCCUUACGGCCAGGGCUACACACGUGCUACAAUGGUCGGUACAAAGGGUUGCCAAGCCGCGAGGUGGAGCUAAUCCCAUAAAACCGAUCGUAGUCCGGAUCGCAGUCUGCAACUCGACUGCGUGAAGUCGGAAUCGCUAGUAAUCGUGAAUCAGAAUGUCACGGUGAAUACGUUCCCGGGCCUUGUACACACCGCCCGUCACACCAUGGGAGUGGGUUGCUCCAGAAGUAGCUAGUCUAACCGCAAGGGGGACGGUUACCACGGAGUGAUUCAUGACUGGGGUGAAGUCGUAACAAGGUAGCCGUAGGGGAACCUGCGGCUGGAUCACCUCCUUA